CACCAGGUGGGAGAGUACGUCGUUCGCGCACUGGAUCUACCCCUUCUACCCAUGAUGGGACGGAGCCAGCAUCGCCGCCACAUGUUGCAUCGCAGUCGUCGGAUCCCUCAGUCACGUAUACAUCGGGCACUGCAUCGUCGUCGACCAGCCGACGAGGACGUGGACCCACGCGUGGGUUGCUUUUACAGCGACUUACACGUGAGGGUAGGGUGACAGUAGAGUUCCCACAAGACUGUAUUAGACCUGUAGGGAAUAAUGCUAGAUUAUUUACGUCAGAGGUCGGUGUCUUAUGCCGAUCUAUGAUCCCUACCAUCACCUCCCAUUGGGCAGACGUGACAAAUGAUGUGCGGUAGCUCAUCUGUCAACGCUUUCAGGAUAAAUUUCACUUGAAUUUGAGUGUUCCGCACAUCUCCUAUGCCGUCGACGACAUGAUGAAGGAGCGGUUCAAGGCUUACCGUGGUAAGUUAUACCAGCAGUACAAGCGGUCCGUGAGCCACGAGGAGCUCGUACAGUUCGCACCACCUCACGUGACCCAUGAGGACUGGCGGAUACUCUGCGAUAGGUUUUCGUCUGAUUCUUUUCAGAAGAGGAGCAAAAUAAAUUCCGACAACAGGAGAAAGUUAGAAGUAAACCAUGUAGCUGGUUCAAAGUCAUUUAUAUGACUUCGUCACAACAUGGUAAGAAAUUACUGGUAAUUUAUAUAUUCUUUCCAUGCAUUUAUAUUAACUCUAUUUUUCUUUCGAUUGCGCAACGAGAUUCCGUCACUGGCCAGGAGCCCGGACCAGUAGAUUUCUAUAAAGGGACUCACUGUCGGCAGGCGAGUGGAUCUUGGAUACAUCCUAGAGCCAGCGAGAUUUGGGAGGAGAUGAACACCUUACGCAGUUAGCCCACUCCUGAUGGUACUCAGUGGAGUGAGCCAGAGAUCCUGAGUCAGGUGCUUGGCACCUGUUCUGGAUAUGUGCGUGGGCUUGGCCAUGGUGCCAAGCUCAUGGCACCCGCUAGAGCUGCCUCCAGCCGAUCCGUCGUCGUUGGUGACAACGUCGCACGCCAAGCUGAUACUGCAGAGAAAGAGGUUCAGCAGCUACGGGUUGUCGUCGAUGACAUUAGAGAUCAGCUGGACAGGCAGAGGGAGGAGCAGGAGAGGAAGAUGAUGGAGGAGCUGGCAAGGUAGAGGGAGGAACAGGAGAGGAAGAUGGAGGAUCAGCUGGCGAGGCAGAGGGAGGAGCAGGAGAGGAAGAUGGAAGAGAUGUGGGUGGAGCAUGAGUGACGGAUGACGGAGAUGUUUCAAGCUUUCGCUGCACGCUUACCCACCGAUGCCCCACCACCUUCGCCUUCAUCUUUAUGAUUUUUUCUUUUUUAUUUAUAAUGUUAAACUUAUAUGUAUUUAUGCGUGAAUGAAUGUGAUGUGUAUAAGAUUGUUUGUAGUUUAUGUUUGGAUGGAUUAACUAAUUUGGGUUAGAUGGAUCUGAAUGUGAAUAUGAUGAAAUUUGACAGGUGUAUUAUGAUAUAACAGGUGUACAUCAGGAAAAAUAUGAUACAUAACAGGUGUAUAUUAGGAUGUGAAUAUGAAUAUGAUGAUAUAACAGGUAUAUCAGGAUGAAUAUGAUGAAAUAUAUUGCAA
Long non-coding RNA from Magnolia sinica, 1621 nucleotides. RefSeq lists it as uncharacterized. The record is from RefSeq and is a predicted model, not a curated record. The transcript is spliced from 5 exons. Lineage: Eukaryota; Viridiplantae; Streptophyta; Magnoliopsida; Magnoliales; Magnoliaceae.